Non-coding RNA from Elaeis guineensis (African oil palm), 607 nucleotides. NCBI's taxonomy places the organism in Eukaryota, Viridiplantae, Streptophyta, Magnoliopsida, Arecales, Arecaceae. The record is from RefSeq and is a predicted model, not a curated record.
UAACCUCUCCUCACCGUCUCUGCUGCCCCCAGUUCAUCAAACCCCCUCUUUCUUCUGUUGAAAUGGAUUUCUAUAUUGAUAGAGAAAAGGAUGCGUUCUUUAUGCAUAUAGAGAGGCAGAUUUCACUUCUCAUGGCUGACGAAGAAGAGAGCGAAACAACCCCAUCUUUACCCACUGAGUGGGACUACGGUAUUAGUAUUUGCCACCGGAGGCAUUCAAACCCAUUGACACGAGAACGCCUUACAACGAAGCAGCCAGCAGCAGUUUUGUCGACAAUAGAGAGGAAGGGAACAGGAGUCUUUAUUCCCUGCCCCCUUGCUUAUACCGGUAGGGCUGAAAAAGCUUGGACUCUUGGUCAGAAAAGGAGGUUCGUGGAAAGAAGAUUUAAAGGUCGAGCUAUGAGAAAAUAAUUAGUGGCAUGCAGAAUUAUCUGGUGAUAUUUCUUGGAUGUUUGCACUCCAAUAGCGAGGGGCUUUUUGUUAUCUGUAUUCUAACAUUGUAUCACCUAUGUUCAGUAAUGCAUCAAUAAAGUGUCUUUGUAUUUCACUGUCAUAUUUAGAGCAUUAGAUCAAUGAAAGAUCAACACUUUGACUAGGUGUUCGUGGCU